GCCCUCUUUCUCCUCUCCACUCCCCGUCGUGUUUUCUGGGGUCUUCUUUGUCCGACCAUAUCUUCCUCCACAGGCCUCCAAUCGACUUGAUUCCAAAAGCAAUUUUUCUCGCCUUGACGUUGUCCAUAACUUCUCUAAAGACAUCGGGGUGAAAAACGAACUGUGGAGGGCGCUGCAAGGCCGAGAAGCCGCACAGCUCGAGCUGGAAAUCGCCUCCCUUCACCGGCCGAUUUCUUUCGAUUCCGGCCACAAACCUUCGUCCAUUGGAAGCGGCUUGAGACGUAGAUGAUGCUCCCCAAGUAUUACACAGCGACUUGAAGCGUGGAGGAAGAAUCGAUGGGAUGAAUUUCUGGGUCACUAUUCACAAAUCGGGUUCAAACUUCUCCUUAAUUGUUGAGGGCGACGUACCGAGCUCUUGCUCGAUGAAGGAACUUGUAUACGUGAUCGUCAGAAUAGUACUUUUGCAGGCGAAAUUAGUUGAGGUCGGGCAUACAUGGAAUUGAGGCAUAGUCAACAGUAUGGCUUCCACGUUUUCCCUGAAUUAGGUUUUCCUUGUUUACCC
This is a long non-coding RNA of Rosa rugosa (rugosa rose), 562 nucleotides long. RefSeq lists it as uncharacterized. The transcript has 3 exons. Lineage: Eukaryota; Viridiplantae; Streptophyta; Magnoliopsida; Rosales; Rosaceae. The record is from RefSeq and is a predicted model, not a curated record.